CUACGGGCGGCUCCAGUUAGGAAUAUUGCACAAUGGGGGGAACCCUGAUGCAGCAACGCCGCGUGGAGGAUGACGCAUUUCGGUGUGUAAACUCCUUUUAUAUGUCAAGAAAAUGACGGUAGCAUAUGAAUAAGCACCCGCUAACUCCGUGCCAGCAGCCGCGGUAAUACGGAGGGUGCAAGCGUUAAUCGGAAUCACUGGGCGUAAAGGACGCGUAGGCGGGUUGGAAAGUCAGGUGUGAAAUCCUACAGCUUAACUGUAGAACUGCACUUGAAACUUCUAAUCUAGAGUAUGGGAGGGGGAGAUGGAAUUAGUGGUGUAGGGGUAAAAUCCGUAGAUAUCACUAGGAAUACCUAAAGCGAAGGCGAUCUCCUGGAACAUUACUGACGCUAAGGCGUGAAAGCGUGGGGAGCAAACAGGAUUAGAUACCCCGGUAGUC
This 439-nucleotide ribosomal RNA is filed under the name uncultured bacterium. Its description in RNAcentral is "partial 16S ribosomal RNA". It matches the Rfam family "Bacterial small subunit ribosomal RNA", at positions 339 to 795 of the family's 1533-position model. The record is from RNAcentral.